UGGGGAAUAUUGCACAAUGGGCGCAAGCCUGAUGCAGCCAUGCCGCGUGUGUGAAGAAGGCCUUCGGGUUGUAAAGCACUUUCAGCGAGGAGGAAGGUGGUGAGCUUAAUACGCUCAUCAAUUGACGUUACUCGCAGAAGAAGCACCGGCUAACUCCGUGCCAGCAGCCGCGGUAAUACGGAGGGUGCAAGCGUUAAUCGGAAUUACUGGGCGUAAAGCGCACGCAGGCGGUUUGUUAAGUCAGAUGUGAAAUCCCCGGGCUCAACCUGGGAACUGCAUUUGAAACUGGCAAGCUAGAGUCUCGUAGAGGGGGGUAGAAUUCCAGGUGUAGCGGUGAAAUGCGUAGAGAUCUGGAGGAAUACCGGUGGCGAAGGCGGCCCCCUGGACGAAGACUGACGCUCAGGUGCGAAAGCGUGGGGCAGCAAACAGGAUUAGAUACCCUGGUAGUCCAGCGCUGUAAACGAUGUCGAUUUGGAGGUUGUGCCCUUGAGGCGUGGCUUCCGGAGCUAACGCGUUAAAUCGACCGCCUGGGGAGUACGGCCGCAAGGUUAAAACUCAAAUGAAUUGACGGGUCU
This 575-nucleotide ribosomal RNA is filed under the name uncultured bacterium. Its description in RNAcentral is "partial 16S ribosomal RNA". It matches the Rfam family "Bacterial small subunit ribosomal RNA", at positions 355 to 920 of the family's 1533-position model. The record is from RNAcentral.